RNAcentral lists this non-coding RNA (21 nucleotides) under Arabidopsis thaliana (thale cress). Lineage: Eukaryota; Viridiplantae; Streptophyta; Magnoliopsida; Brassicales; Brassicaceae. The record is from RNAcentral.
CACAUGAUUGUGCCACAUGUC